GAUGAACGCUGACAGAAUGCUUAACACAUGCAAGUCAACUUGAAUUUGGGGUUUUAACUUAGGUUUGGGUGGCGGACGGGUGAGUAACGCGUAAAGAACUUGCCUCACAGCUAGGGACAACAUUUGGAAACGAAUGCUAAUACCUAAUAUUAUGAUAAUAGAGCAUCCUAUAAUUAUGAAAGCUAUAAGCGCUGUGAGAGAGCUUUGCGUCCCAUUAGCUAGUUGGAGAGGUAACGGCUCACCAAGGCGAUGAUGGGUAGCCGGCCUGAGAGGGUGAUCGGCCACAAGGGGACUCAGACACCGCCCGUACUCCUACGGGAGGCAGCAGUGGGAAAUAUUGGACGAUGGACCGAGAGUCUGAUCCAGCAAUUCUGUGUGCACGAUGAAGUUUUUCGGAAUGUAAAGUGCUUUCAGUUGGGAAGAAACAAAUGACGGUACCAACAGAAGAAGUGACGGCUAAAUACGUG
Molecule: ribosomal RNA, 467 nt
Filed under: uncultured bacterium
Lineage: Bacteria
Description: partial 16S ribosomal RNA
Rfam family: Bacterial small subunit ribosomal RNA
Source: RNAcentral